AGAGCGAACGCUGGCGGCAGGCCUAACACAUGCAAGUCGAGCGCGUGUAGCAAUACACGAGCGGCAGACGGGAGAGUAACACGUGGGAACGCGCCCUUCGGUUCGGAAUAACUCAGGGAAACUUGAGCUAAUACCGGAUACGCCCUUACGGGGAAAGAUUUAUUGCCGAAGGAACGGCCCGCGUCCGAUUAGCUAGUUGGUGAGGUAACGGCUCACCAAGGCGACGAUCGGUAGCUGGUCUGAGAGGAUGACCAGCCUCACUGGGACUGAGACACGGCCCAGACUCCUACGGGAGGCAGCAGUGGGGAAUAUUGGACAAUGGGCGCAAGCCUGAUCCAGCCAUGCCGCGUGGAUGAUGAAGGCCUUAGGGUUGUAAAGCACUUUUAGUGGGGUACAAAAGCUAACUGGCUAAUACCUUGUGGUCUUGAUUUAACCCAAAGAAAAGCACCGGCUAACUCUGCGCCAGCAGCCGCGGUAA
RNAcentral lists this ribosomal RNA (478 nucleotides) under uncultured bacterium. RNAcentral describes it as "SSU rRNA". It matches the Rfam family "Bacterial small subunit ribosomal RNA", at positions 26 to 523 of the family's 1533-position model. The record is from RNAcentral.